Long non-coding RNA from Lycium barbarum (goji berry), 3570 nucleotides. RefSeq lists it as uncharacterized. The transcript has 3 exons. NCBI's taxonomy places the organism in Eukaryota, Viridiplantae, Streptophyta, Magnoliopsida, Solanales, Solanaceae. The record is from RefSeq and is a predicted model, not a curated record.
UCGAAUACACACAUACACGGCUAUGUGAAACUACCGGUAUUCAAGUGAAAAAUUCAUCAAAAUAGACAAUGAACCACCUCAAACAGACCUGUUUGGGUUAAUUUAUCAUUGGUCGAGGUUGAGGUCUUGUUCGUCAAGGUCCGUCGGAGCUCUGGUCGAGGUCCCAUCCGGCUAAAGGUUUUGCUUGAAGUCGAAUGUUAAGGCAUAACUAAAAGUAUGCCCCAUAAAGCGGAACUUUUCCUUAAGAUAUAUAUAUGUGUGUGUGUGUCUCAAGGCAAAGUCUGCCCCCUCCGGCAUAACUUUAGUUUUUCCUUAAGGAUUGUAUGCCGGAUCCGGCAUACACUCCCCCCAGCCUUCCUUGCAAAAUUAUUUUUUUAUUUUAUGCCUGAGCGGGGUUCAAACCCAGAAUCUCGAGUAUCCAUGCGAAGGGCAAAAUUUAAAGACCACCCCAAAAGAAGGGCAAUCCGUGCAAAAAAAUGCUUGAGUAAAAGCUUUAACUAUGGCCCAUAACACUCCCCUAGUCCCAAUAAUGUUCAUAUUUAAAGAUUUGCAUCAAAUAGCUGAAUAUUGGAAGUGGAUGGACCAAAUCCUCAUAUGGUAAUUGUCUCAUUGGGCAAAGAGUACCCUCCUUGAGUAAAAGCUUUUACCUUGAGUAAAUUCUUAAGGUAAAUAUAAGAAUUUAUCAAAAUUACUAAGUUGGAUCGAACUCAUAUCUUAAACACUGCCCCUGAAACCUCUUCUUAUAUACGGUCUUUCACUUGAGCAAAUGGCAGGCGAACCAAUAAGAAUUAUAAUGGAAUGAUAAGUAUUCUUUUAUUCUUGGCUUAAGUCAUUCGCGGCAACUAGUGCUUUCUAUAAUUAAAAAAAUGUCAGUCAUUCUCGGAUGCUUUACUAGCAGCCGGAGAGAGAGAGAAAAAUAUAUACGGGGACACUAGCCGUGCAUAUUACACAUAUAUAUUUUAAGAGAAACAUUUCUAUAUUUAAGCAAUUUUAAAGCCUAUAUAUACGUGGCCUUUCAUCAAGCAAGAAAAUGCACUCGCACUCAAUUAAUUAGCUCUUCUUCUCAUCACAAUCAGCAGAGUCCAAACUCAGUGAACAUGGGUAAGGAGUGCCUAUCUCACAAGCUCUCUUUCUUUUUUGGAAUUCUCCUUGUGACACUCACUGUUAAUUCACUUUGGUCCUCAAACACUAAAGCGAUUGCUUUGCGAGACCUACCUUUAGAAGUACAAGUGAUUAAGCAGAUGGUACUUCCGGAACUGAGCUAUACUGUUCAUUGUUUUGCGCAAUGUGAAAAUAAUUGGGAUUGCAAAAAAUUGCUAGACUGAGGGUAUUGUCGAAAGCCGAAUUAUAGGUCACCAAUUAAGAUAUGUUUGACUCCAUGUUGACCCAUUUUAAUAUAUUUCAUAUGAUAAAAUGUGUUUUUAUUAAUCUUUUUAGUUUUACCUACUCCUAAUUCUGAGCUUUGUAUCACUUGUAUGAUCAGAGGCGGGGAUUUAAAUUUAAUGUGUUUUUGAAUUUUAGAGCGAUAAUUUAAAGUGUUAAUAAUUGAGUCCUAAAUUUAAUAUAUUAUGCAUAUUUAAUAAAUUUCUAAAACAUAUAUAUUUGAGUAAAAUUUGCUUAAUUCAGCUGAACUCGCAUCUGAACGUUUAUCGUUGUUUGAGUGUUAAGAUAUACUCCCUCUAUUUCAAUUAAUAGAACUCAUUUGACUGGGUACGACAUUUAAGAAAGAGGGAAGAUUUUUGAAACUUGUAGUUCAAAAUAAGCCUUGAAAAUUCGUGGGGCUGUAAAUCAUUAAUAAAGUGAAUUUAUUUUCAAAUUAGGAAAGAGGUUAUUCAUUUUUACGACUAAAAAGGAAAUAGGUUCAAACAAAUUGAAACAGGGGGAGUAUAACCUAAGUGACUUUCUAUUUUUCUGAAUGAAUAUGUGAUGAUCUAUGUUACUCGAACUUUAUAAAAAUAUCAACAGAUGUGUGUCAAAUCUUCAUUUUUAAAGGAUCCGAUUCGAGUGAGGCAAUAUUUUUAAAGGUCUAAGCAACAUAGGUAGGGGUGUACAUGGAUCGGGUUGGUUCAGAUUUUUUAAAUACCAAACCAAAUCAAUUGCGUCGGGUUUUUAAAUUUAUACACCAAACCAAACCAAUAAAAUUCGGGUUUUUCAACCUCUCUUUUUCUCGGGUUACUCGGUUUUCUCGGGUUUUCAAAUUUCUUUCGGAAUAUUCUUGAUACAAAACAUAUAACUUUUACUUCAAAUAUUUCUUUAGUCUUAUUAAGAUACAACUAUGCAACUAAGGUGUUUAUUAAGAAAAUAACACAAAAUGUGAGAAGAGUGAUGACACUCUAUUACAAUGUUCAAAAAAAACUAAUAAAAUCGACUGAAAUAAAUAUUGCUAAUUAUUCAAGCGAUAAAUAAAAUGAUCAUAAUCUAAAAAUACUAAGUCAUGCCAAAAUAAGUACAGCUAAUAAGUACUACUUACAUGACAAAGAAAAAAAAUCAAGUUAGGUAUUUUUACUCUCUAAAUCAAUUAUGAAAAAAAAUAAAGAAUAGAUAUCCAACAUUACUGUUAUUCCUAGUGCUAAAUUGAAUUUCUUUUGUUAGCAUUAAUGUUGAGUUGGUUUUGGUUUGGACUUUAUUUGAGUUACUAACAUCCAUAGGAUAUAAAACUUAUUGACAUUCAAAAUUCUAAGUUCAAGCUUGAAUAAUAUGAGAAUAGAUAAAAAAAAAUAAGAAAUAUUUAUAAAUUACAUUAAAAAUAAAUCUUUUUAUGCAUAAAAUAUUUUAAAAAUUGAAUACAUGUAAUGUUAGGUUGAUUUGAUUCGAUUUAACUUUUUAUAGUUAAAAUCAAACCAAACCAAACCAAUUAUUGUAACAACCCGAAAAUUUUCAAGUGCUUAGAAUUACUUCCUUAUUUGUAGAGUAUUUAAUCUUAACGAGUUUCAUAUCGGAGCGUGUACUAAUUAUGAGCCUGUUUGGAUGGGCUUAUGCCUAUAAGCUGUUUGCAGCUUAUAAGCUAAAAAAAAUAAGUUGGGGUAGUCUAACUUAUUUUUUUUGGCUUAUAAGCUGUUUUCAGCUUAUAAGCUGCUUUAGAUAAGCUAAGUCAAAUGGGCUCAAUUAUUUUUUUGAGCUUAUUUUAAGCACAAAAUGACUUUAAGCUGGCCAGCCAAACACUCAAAAAAGCUGAAAACAGCUUAUAAGCUAACUUAUAAGCCAAUCCAAACGGGCUCUAUAUCCAUAAAACAUGUAUGUAUAAAUUAGCAGUUUAAUAUUAUUUACAUGAUAUAAUAUUAGUUGGUGAAUUGGUUAAAGAGUAAAUUAGUGGGUCAGGCCCCCUACUUAGCUAUUGGUCAGUUUUUAGAUGAAAGUGGAGAGAUAGAAAAAUCAUUAUUCUAUUUCCAGACUAAAAAGAACAAAAAAAAAAAAAAACCGCAUAGGGCAGUUGGUGCUACUGCGUUCAAGAACCAUUACAGAGAAAGAUUUCUCUCGGUUAAGAAAGACAAAAAAAUUCCAGAUUAAGGCUAUUGGAGAUUGUUGAAGAGAAUUUGGCAUUUCAAGAGAGGUUGCGUUCCGGUUAUAAGG